This 1493-nucleotide ribosomal RNA is filed under the name Lacticaseibacillus paracasei. RNAcentral's name for it is "bacterial SSU rRNA". It matches the Rfam family "Bacterial small subunit ribosomal RNA". The record is from RNAcentral. Lineage: Bacteria; Bacillati; Bacillota; Bacilli; Lactobacillales; Lactobacillaceae.
GAUGAACGCUGGCGGCGUGCCUAAUACAUGCAAGUCGAACGAGUUCUCGUUGAAUCUCGGUGCUUGCACCGAGAUUCAACAUGGAACGAGUGGCGGACGGGUGAGUAACACGUGGGUAACCUGCCCUUAAGUGGGGGAUAUCAUUUGGAAACAGAUGCUAAUACCGCAUAGAUCCAAGAACCGCAUGGUUCUUGGCUGAAAGAUGGCGUAAGCUAUCGCUUUUGGAUGGACCCGCGGCGUAUUAGCUAGUUGGUGAGGUAAUGGCUCACCAAGGCGAUGAUACGUAGCCGAACUGAGAGGUUGAUCGGCCACAUUGGGACUGAGACACGGCCCAAACUCCUACGGGAGGCAGCAGUAGGGAAUCUUCCACAAUGGACGCAAGUCUGAUGGAGCAACGCCGCGUGAGUGAAGAAGGCUUUCGGGUCGUAAAACUCUGUUGUUGGAGAAGAAUGGUCGGCAGAGUAACUGUUGUCGGCGUGACGGUAUCCAACCAGAAAGCCACGGCUAACUACGUGCCAGCAGCCGCGGUAAUACGUAGGUGGCAAGCGUUAUCCGGAUUUAUUGGGCGUAAAGCGAGCGCAGGCGGUUUUUUAAGUCUGAUGUGAAAGCCCUCGGCUUAACCGAGGAAGCGCAUCGGAAACUGGGAAACUUGAGUGCAGAAGAGGACAGUGGAACUCCAUGUGUAGCGGUGAAAUGCGUAGAUAUAUGGAAGAACACCAGUGGCGAAGGCGGCUGUCUGGUCUGUAACUGACGCUGAGGCUCGAAAGCAUGGGUAGCGAACAGGAUUAGAUACCCUGGUAGUCCAUGCCGUAAACGAUGAAUGCUAGGUGUUGGAGGGUUUCCGCCCUUUCAGUGCCGCAGCUAACGCAUUAAGCAUUCCGCCUGGGGAGUACGACCGCAAGGUUGAAACUCAAAGGAAUUGACGGGGGCCCGCACAAGCGGUGGAGCAUGUGGUUUAAUUCGAAGCAACGCGAAGAACCUUACCAGGUCUUGACAUCUUUUGAUCACCUGAGAGAUCAGGUUUCCCCUUCGGGGGCAAAAUGACAGGUGGUGCAUGGUUGUCGUCAGCUCGUGUCGUGAGAUGUUGGGUUAAGUCCCGCAACGAGCGCAACCCUUAUGACUAGUUGCCAGCAUUUAGUUGGGCACUCUAGUAAGACUGCCGGUGACAAACCGGAGGAAGGUGGGGAUGACGUCAAAUCAUCAUGCCCCUUAUGACCUGGGCUACACACGUGCUACAAUGGAUGGUACAACGAGUUGCGAGACCGCGAGGUCAAGCUAAUCUCUUAAAGCCAUUCUCAGUUCGGACUGUAGGCUGCAACUCGCCUACACGAAGUCGGAAUCGCUAGUAAUCGCGGAUCAGCACGCCGCGGUGAAUACGUUCCCGGGCCUUGUACACACCGCCCGUCACACCAUGAGAGUUUGUAACACCCGAAGCCGGUGGCGUAACCCUUUUAGGGAGCGAGCCGUCUAAGGUGGGACAAAUGAUUAGGGUG